This 500-nucleotide ribosomal RNA is filed under the name uncultured bacterium. RNAcentral's name for it is "partial 16S ribosomal RNA". It matches the Rfam family "Bacterial small subunit ribosomal RNA", at positions 29 to 507 of the family's 1533-position model. The record is from RNAcentral.
AAUCAACGCUGGCGGCGUGCCUAACACAUGCAAGUCGAACGCGAAAGCCCCGCAAGGGGUAAGUAGAGUGGCAAACGGGUGAGUAACACGUGGGUGACCUGCCUUCGAGUGGGGGAUAACGUCCCGAAAGGGACGCUAAUACCGCAUGACAUCCUGCUUUUGAAAAAGCGGAGAUCAAAGCUGGGGAUCGCAAGACCUAGCGCUUGAAGAGGGGCCCGCGCCUGAUUAGCUAGUUGGUGAGGUAACGGCUCACCAAGGCGACGAUCAGUAUCCGGCCUGAGAGGGCGGACGGGCACACUGGGACUGAGACACGGCCCAGACUCCUACGGGGGGCAGCAGGGGGGAAUUGUUCGCAAUGGGCGCAAGCCUGACGACGCAACGCCGCGUGGAGGACGAAGAUCUUCGGGUCGUAAACUCCUGUCGAGCGGGACGAACGCUUCGCGGAUGAAUAAUCCGCGGAAUUGACGGUACCGCUAAAGGAAGCCCCGGCUAACUCCGUG